AACGAACGCUGGCGGCAGGCCUAACACAUGCAAGUCGAACGAGAACACCGGUCCUGCCUGCUGACGGGGGAGUAACGCGUGGGAACGUUCCCUUUUCCUCCGAAUAGCCCUGGUACACUGGGAGUAAUAUCGGAAGAGUCCUUUGGGGGCAAGAUUUAUCGUCGGAGGAUCGGCACGCGUUCGUUUAGGUUGUUGGUGUGGUAAUGGCCUAUGAAGGCGUCGAUACAUAGCUGGGUUGAGAGGAUGCGCAGCCACUCUGGGGCUGGGACACGGCCCAGACUCCUACGGGAGGGAGCAGUGGGGGAUCUUAGACUAUGGGGGAAGCCCUGAUCGAGCCAUGCCGGGUAAGCGAUGAAGUUGUUAGGGUAGUAAAGCUCUUUCAGCUGGGAAGAUAAUGACGGUACCAGCAGAAGAAGCCCCGGCUAACUCCGUG
This 433-nucleotide ribosomal RNA is filed under the name uncultured bacterium. RNAcentral's name for it is "partial 16S ribosomal RNA". It matches the Rfam family "Bacterial small subunit ribosomal RNA", at positions 29 to 507 of the family's 1533-position model. The record is from RNAcentral.